UGCUGAGGGUCAGAGCUGACGUUGCUCCGUCCCCUGAGGAUUUACCCCCAGCCCUGGGCCUUGGGGUCUCACGACCCUUGCACAUUCCUCAGGACCUGGACAGAGUCCAUACCACAGUGCUGCUGGGGCCAUGGGCUCCGACUGCAGCCUCCUGACGGGAGCCCUCCUUCCCAAGAAGGGGCUCCAUGCGGUGGGCAUGAGCCUCCCUCCUCUGAGCCGUGCCCGAGGAGCAGCCGCAGCCCCGGCUCCCUCCUUGUCAAACAGGUGGGCUUUGAGACCGAGCCCCUUCCUCCAAAGGUCUGGUAAUCAAUACGGAGCCAAGACCCAGGAUCCGGGUGUGACAGAUCCAGGAUCUGCAGUUGAGGCGUGAGCAGGGCCCGCAGUUCCCUAUGAGUUGAGUGGAG
RNAcentral lists this long non-coding RNA (404 nucleotides) under Fukomys damarensis (Damara mole-rat). RNAcentral's name for it is "lncRNA (ENSFDAG00000030500.1)". The record is from RNAcentral. Lineage: Eukaryota; Metazoa; Chordata; Mammalia; Rodentia; Bathyergidae.